Molecule: ribosomal RNA, 833 nt
Filed under: Vibrionaceae bacterium R4M4
Lineage: Bacteria; Pseudomonadati; Pseudomonadota; Gammaproteobacteria; Vibrionales; Vibrionaceae
Description: bacterial SSU rRNA
Rfam family: Bacterial small subunit ribosomal RNA
Source: RNAcentral
GACGAUACGGCGUCGAGCGGCGGACGGGUGAGUAAUGCCUAGGAAAUUGCCCUGUUGUGGGGGAUAACCAUUGGAAACGAUGGCUAAUACCGCAUAAUACCUACGGGUCAAAGAGGGGGACCUUCGGGCCUCUCGCGUCAGGAUAUGCCUAGGUGGGAUUAGCUAGUUGGUGAGGUAAUGGCUCACCAAGGCGACGAUCCCUAGCUGGUCUGAGAGGAUGAUCAGCCACACUGGAACUGAGACACGGUCCAGACUCCUACGGGAGGCAGCAGUGGGGAAUAUUGCACAAUGGGCGCAAGCCUGAUGCAGCCAUGCCGCGUGUGUGAAGAAGGCCUUCGGGUUGUAAAGCACUUUCAGUCGUGAGGAAGGUAGUGUAGUUAAUAGCUGCAUUAUUUGACGUUAGCGACAGAAGAAGCACCGGCUAACUCCGUGCCAGCAGCCGCGGUAAUACGGAGGGUGCGAGCGUUAAUCGGAAUUACUGGGCGUAAAGCGCAUGCAGGUGGUUUGUUAAGUCAGAUGUGAAAGCCCGGGGCUCAACCUCGGAAUAGCAUUUGAAACUGGCAGACUAGAGUACUGUAGAGGGGGGUAGAAUUUCAGGUGUAGCGGUGAAAUGCGUAGAGAUCUGAAGGAAUACCGGUGGCGAAGGCGGCCCCCUGGACAGAUACUGACACUCAGAUGCGAAAGCGUGGGGAGCAAACAGGAUUAGAUACCCUGGUAGUCCACGCCGUAAACGAUGUCUACUUGGAGGUUGUGGCCUUGAGCCGUGGCUUUUCGGAGCUAACGCGUUAAGUAGACCGCCUGGGGAGUACGGUCGCAAGAUUAAAACUCAAAUG